Molecule: ribosomal RNA, 1214 nt
Filed under: Salmonella enterica
Lineage: Bacteria; Pseudomonadati; Pseudomonadota; Gammaproteobacteria; Enterobacterales; Enterobacteriaceae
Description: partial 23S ribosomal RNA
Rfam family: Bacterial large subunit ribosomal RNA
Source: RNAcentral
GGGUUGUGAGGUUAAGCGACUAAGCGUACACGGUGGAUGCCCUGGCAGUCAGAGGCGAUGAAGGGCGUGCUAAUCUGCGAUAAGCGCCGGUAAGGUGAUAUGAACCGUUAUAACCGGCGAUACCCGAAUGGGGAAACCCAGUGUGACUCGUCACACUAUCAUUAACUGAAUCCAUAGGUUAAUGAGGCGAACCGGGGGAACUGAAACAUCUAAGUACCCCGAGGAAAAGAAAUCAACCGAGAUUCCCCCAGUAGCGGCGAGCGAACGGGGAGGAGCCCAGAGCCUGAAUCAGCAUGUGUGUUAGUGGAAGCGUCUGGAAAGGCGCGCGAUACAGGGUGACAGCCCCGUACACAAAAGCGCAUGUGCUGUGAGCUCGAUGAGUAGGGCGGGACACGUGGUAUCCUGUCUGAAUAUGGGGGGACCAUCCUCCAAGGCUAAAUACUCCUGACUGACCGAUAGUGAACCAGUACCGUGAGGGAAAGGCGAAAAGAACCCCGGCGAGGGGAGUGAAAAAGAACCUGAAACCGUGUACGUACAAGCAGUGGGAGCACCCUUCGGGGUGUGACUGCGUACCUUUUGUAUAAUGGGUCAGCGACUUAUAUUCUGUAGCAAGGUUAACCGUAUAGGGGAGCCGGAGGGAAACCGAGUCUUAAUUGGGCGUUAAGUUGCAGGGUAUAGACCCGAAACCCGGUGAUCUAGCCAUGGGCAGGUUGAAGGUUGGGUAACACUAACUGGAGGACCGAACCGACUAAUGUUGAAAAAUUAGCGGAUGACCUGUGGCUGGGGGUGAAAGGCCAAUCAAACCGGGAGAUAGCUGGUUCUCCCCGAAAGCUAUUUAGGUAGCGCCUCGUGAAUUCAUCUCCGGGGGUAGAGCACUGUUUCGGCUAGGGGGCCAUCCCGGCUUACCAACCCGAUGCAAACUGCGAAUACCGGAGAAUGUUAUCACGGGAGACACACGGCGGGUGCUAACGUCCGUCGUGAAGAGGGAAACAACCCAGACCGCCAGCUAAGGUCCCAAAGUCAUGGUUAAGUGGGAAACGAUGUGGGAAGGCCCAGACAGCCAGGAUGUUGGCUUAGAAGCAGCCAUCAUUUAAAGAAAGCGUAAUAGCUCACUGGUCGAGUCGGCCUGCGCGGAAGAUGUAACGGGGCUAAACCAUGCACCGAAGCUGCGGCAGCGACGCUGAUGCGUUGUUGGGUAGGGGAGCGUUCUGUAA